RNAcentral lists this ribosomal RNA (897 nucleotides) under uncultured bacterium. Its description in RNAcentral is "bacterial SSU rRNA". It matches the Rfam family "Bacterial small subunit ribosomal RNA", at positions 74 to 975 of the family's 1533-position model. The record is from RNAcentral.
AAGCUUUCGGGCUUUGAGACCGGCGCACGGGUGCGUAACGCGUAUGCAAUCUGCCUUACACUAAGGGAUAGCCCAGAGAAAUUUGGACUAAUACCUUAUAGUAUAUUUUUGUGGCAUCACAAGAUUAUUAAAGAUUUAUCGGUGUAAGAUGAGCAUGCGUCCCAUUAGCUAGUUGGUAUGGUAACGGCAUACCAAGGCUAUGAUGGGUAGGGGUCCUGAGAGGGAGAUCCCCCACACUGGUACUGAGACACGGACCAGACUCCUACGGGAGGCAGCAGUGAGGAAUAUUGGACAAUGGGCGCAAGCCUGAUCCAGCCAUGCCGCGUGCAGGAUGAAGCAUCUAUGGUGUGUAAACUGCUUUUAUACAGGAAGAAACCCCUUUACGUGUAGAGGAUUGACGGUACUGUAGGAAUAAGGAUCGGCUAACUCCGUGCCAGCAGCCGCGGUAAUACGGAGGAUCCAAGCGUUAUCCGGAAUCAUUGGGUUUAAAGGGUCCGUAGGCGGUCUUAUAAGUCAGUGGUGAAAUCCGGCAGCUCAACUGUCGAACUGCCAUUGAUACUGUAAGACUUGAAUUACUGUGAAGUAACUAGAAUAUGUAGUGUAGCGGUGAAAUGCUUAGAUAUUACAUGGAAUACCAAUUGCGAAGGCCGGUUACUAACAUUAUAUUGACGCUGAUGGACGAAAGCGUGGGUAGCGAACAGGAUUAGAUACCCUGGUAGUCCACGCCGUAAACGAUGGAUACUAGCUGUUCGGAUGCAAUCUGAGUGGCUAAGCGAAAGUGAUAAGUAUCCCACCUGGGGAGUACGAACGCAAGUUUGAAACUCAAAGGAAUUGACGGGGGCCCGCACAAGCGGUGGAGCAUGUGGUUUAAUUCGAUGAUACGCGAGGAACCUUACC